Long non-coding RNA from Spinacia oleracea (spinach), 1167 nucleotides. RefSeq lists it as uncharacterized. The record is from RefSeq and is a predicted model, not a curated record. The transcript has 3 exons. NCBI's taxonomy places the organism in Eukaryota, Viridiplantae, Streptophyta, Magnoliopsida, Caryophyllales, Amaranthaceae.
CCUUCUUUCCCUCAAUUCAGUCCAAAUUCAGAUACUUGGACCCCAAGCACCUCUCCUUGUUCUUCACUCUUCCUGUAUACAAAUUUCAUUUCCAUUUCAGGAAAUUCAACAUCAAAAACCAAUUUCUCUCAUUUUCAUCUUCUCUGAUUCGAGCAACCACCACCAACAACCAUCAUCUGCCACCACCAUAACCACCACAACCCAGGACCAUCAUCCCAACACCACUCGACCACCCGUCCUCCACCGCACGCACCACCCUCGCCUCCCCUAUUAUUUCCCCUCGUCGCACUCCCCUGCCCUUCGCCCCUAUCCCCGCGCAAACCAUCGUUGCAGCCACUACUCCGGCCACCUUCACCCUCUCGUGAACUGACCUCCGCCGCCUACACUCUCCGUCGAGCCACCUCAGCCCACUCCCAAGCACCACCCGCCACCAAACUCCCCUGUUUCCCUCCUCCGUUCGCACCUCCCACCCUUUCCCUCGCAUCCUGCCGCCACAAACCACCACCACCGUCGCCUUCACCGGCGUUUUCCGGUGGUACCGAGCCGUCCAGACCCCAACUCCCUUCCUUCCUCCUCUCUUUCCUCCCCUGCUCUUUUUCGUUCCCCCUCCCCUGUUUCUUGCGUUCCCUUUCCCAGAAACCCAAAACAACCAAAAUUAGAUUUUUAAAGCUUUAAUUUUAUUUUCCUCCAACCCAUAUUAAAUUGGGCCAACUAACCAUUUGGGCCUUUGAAAUUGGACUCGGAGCUCAGGACGAACGAACCAAGGAAAACAAAACCCUUAGCAAAUCGCGGAAGUGAGGUACUGCUGGGAACGAUGGAAACGAGUAGUGGCGAGGAUUUCACCCUUAAUAAUUUCCACCUAGUUUAUGUUUUUUAAUAGUUAAUUAAAGAUUUUUAGUAAGUUAUAUACUUUUACUUUGGGAAUAUAAAGGAUUAUUAUGUUAAUUUUGAAUGAUUUAAUAGCUUAUGAUUGAUAGUUGCCUUGUAAUUCCCAAGAGGGAUUUACGGCAGGUAAUGUCCCGACCGAUUAGGUUAAUUCCGCUGCUAAUUAUGCUUUAAAUAUUGAAUUAGAGGUCGGGGUGUUACAAGAGGUUUGAGGGAAAAAGAGAGGUUUGAGGUGAAUUAGAAGUUUAGCGUUUAAAAAAAACCUAAUUGAAAGUGUUUGGU